AAAAAAAAUAUUUAGUUUUUCUUUGAGGUUUCACUGAGCUUCUUAUUAAUUUGUGAACUAAACUUGAUAUUGUUAAUUGAUUCUGGUUUAUGAUCAAUUUCAUAAUGGUAUUUUCUUUAGUGUAAUUGGUCUGGUGUAUAUGCUAUAUAAUGGAGAUCUUUGCUAAUACCGUUCUACCCUUCUCUGUCAUUUAGAUAAAAUCUUUGCUACUUAAAAAUUAAGUCUUUAGUGUGUAUUUUCACUCUUACGUUGAGUGGUCUGUUGUGACCUGAUCACAACAAAACGG
This 286-nucleotide unclassified non-coding RNA is filed under the name Hevea brasiliensis (rubber tree). Lineage: Eukaryota; Viridiplantae; Streptophyta; Magnoliopsida; Malpighiales; Euphorbiaceae. The record is from RNAcentral.